Molecule: non-coding RNA, 69 nt
Organism: Pelobates cultripes (western spadefoot toad)
Lineage: Eukaryota; Metazoa; Chordata; Amphibia; Anura; Pelobatidae
Source: the annotation of a GenBank genome assembly
CACUAAUAAAAAUAUUAAAGAGAAUGGGUCCAAGUUCAGGGAUCUGUACUUGGACCCAUUCUCUUUAAU